UAAGCCAUGCAAGUCGAACGAGUUUAGGCUCGUGGCGUACGGCUCAGUAACACGUGGAUAACCUACCCUUAGGACCGGGAUAACCUUGGGAAACUGAGGAUAAUACUGGAUAGGCAAUUAUUCUUGCAAUGGUUUUUUGUUUAAAUGUUUUUUCGCCUAAGGAUGGGUCUGCGGCCGAUUAGGUAGUUGGUUAGGUAAUGGCUUACCAAGCCGUUGAUCGGUACGGGUUGUGAGAGCAAGAGCCCGGAGAUGGAACCUGAGACAAGGUUCCAGGCCCUACGGGGUGCAGCAGGCGCGAAACCUCCGCAAUGUGAGAAAUCGCGACGGGGGGAUCCCAAGUGCCAUUCUUAACGGGAUGGCUUUUCAUUAGUGUAAAGAGCUUUUGGAAUAAGGGCUGGGCAAGACCGGUGCCAGCCGCCGCGGUAACACCGGCAGCUCUAGUGGUAGCAGUUUUUAUUGGGCCUAAAGCGUCCGUAGCCGGUUUAAUAAGUCUCUGGUGAAAUCCUGUAGCUUAACUGUGGGAAUUGCUGGAGAUACUAUUAGACUUGAGACCGGGAGAGGUUAGAGGUACUCCCAGGGUAGAGGUGAAAUUCUGUAAUCCUGGGAGGACCGCCUGUUGCGAAGGCGUCUAACUGGAACGGUUCUGACGGUGAGGGACGAAAGUUAGGGGCGCGAACCGGAUUAGAUACCCGGGUAGUCCUAACUGUAAACGAUGCGGACUUGGUGUUGGGGUGGCUUUGAGCUGCUCCAGUGCCGAAGGGAAGCUGUUAAGUCCGCCGCCUGGGAAGUACGGUCGCAAGACUGAAACUUAAAGGAAUUGGCGGGGGAGCACCACAACGCGUGGAGCCUGCGGUUUAAUUGGAUUCAACGCCGGACAUCUCACCAGAGGCGACAGCUGUAUGAUAGCCAGGUUGAUGACUUUGCUUGACUAGCUGAGAGGAGGUGCAUGGCC
Molecule: ribosomal RNA, 952 nt
Filed under: uncultured Methanobrevibacter sp.
Lineage: Archaea; Methanobacteriati; Methanobacteriota; Methanobacteria; Methanobacteriales; Methanobacteriaceae
Description: bacterial SSU rRNA
Rfam family: Archaeal small subunit ribosomal RNA
Source: RNAcentral